GCUGGGGUCGUAGCUUAAUGGUAGAGCACUUGCCUAGCAUGUGUGAGGCCCUGGGUUGGAUUCUCAGCACAGCA
Molecule: transfer RNA, 74 nt
Filed under: Marmota monax (woodchuck)
Lineage: Eukaryota; Metazoa; Chordata; Mammalia; Rodentia; Sciuridae
Description: tRNA.Ala
Source: RNAcentral